GAUUUCUGGCUUGGUGCGCGCCGUCCGCUGCGGUUACGUAGUGUGUGCGGUUGUGCGCCUGCCAUCUUUCUAGACAUCAUGCUGCGCCCUUCACUGGGUGGCAGGUGGUGGCUGGAUCUUUUACUUUGAAAAAAUUAGAGUGUUCAAAGCAGGCUUGCGCUAUGAAUACAUUAGCAUGGAAUAAUAAUUUAGGACUUCUGUUCUAUUUUGUUGGUUUCUAGGAUGGAAGUAAUGAUUGAUAGGGAUAGUUGGGGGUGCUAGUAUUCAGCGGCCAGAGGUGAAAUUCUUGGAUUCGCUGAAGACUAACUUAUGCGAAAGCAUU
This 322-nucleotide ribosomal RNA is filed under the name uncultured Cercozoa. RNAcentral's name for it is "SSU rRNA". The stretch from base 107 to 322 matches the Rfam family "Eukaryotic small subunit ribosomal RNA", at positions 738 to 955 of the family's 1831-position model. The record is from RNAcentral. Lineage: Eukaryota; Cercozoa.